Molecule: ribosomal RNA, 433 nt
Filed under: uncultured bacterium
Lineage: Bacteria
Description: partial 16S ribosomal RNA
Rfam family: Bacterial small subunit ribosomal RNA
Source: RNAcentral
AACGAACGCUGGCGGCAGGCCUAACACAUGCAAGUCGAGCGCGCCCUUCGGGGUGAGCGGCGGACGGGUGAGUAACGCGUGGGAACGUGCCCUUCUCUGCGGAAUAGCCUCGGGAAACUGAGAGUAAUACCGCAUACGCCCUUUGGGGGAAAGAUUUAUCGGAGAAGGAUCGGCCCGCGUUGGAUUAGGUAGUUGGUGGGGUAAUGGCCCACCAAGCCGACGAUCCAUAGCUGGUUGGAGAGGAUGAUCAGCCACACUGGGACUGAGACACGGCCCAGACUCCUACGGGAGGCAGCAGUGGGGAAUUUUAGACAAUGGGGGCAACCCUGAUCUAGCCAUGCCGCGUGAGUGAUGAAGGCCUUAGGGUUGUAAAGCUCUUUCAGCUGGGAAGAUAAUGACGGUACCAGCAGAAGAAGCCCCGGCUAACUCCGUG